CACCGCGGUUAUACGAGAGGCCCAAGUUGUCAGCCUUCGGCGUAAAGAGUGGUUAGAAUCUUUAAUACUAAACUGAGGCCGAACAGCUUCAAGGCAGUUAUACGCUUCCGAAGACAUGAAGCACAUUUACGAAGGUAGCCUCACCCAAUUUGAACCCACGAAAGCUAAGGCA
RNAcentral lists this ribosomal RNA (172 nucleotides) under Lagocephalus suezensis. RNAcentral's name for it is "partial 12S rRNA". Lineage: Eukaryota; Metazoa; Chordata; Actinopteri; Tetraodontiformes; Tetraodontidae. The record is from RNAcentral.